RNAcentral lists this ribosomal RNA (441 nucleotides) under uncultured bacterium. Its description in RNAcentral is "partial 16S ribosomal RNA". It matches the Rfam family "Bacterial small subunit ribosomal RNA", at positions 338 to 776 of the family's 1533-position model. The record is from RNAcentral.
CCUACGGGAGGCUGCAGUGAGGAAUAUUGGUCAAUGGACGAGAGUCUGAACCAGCCAAGUCGCGUGAAGGAUGACUGCCCCAAGGGUUGUAAACUUCUUUUAUAUGGGAACAAAGUCAAGUAUGUAAACUGUUCCGUAUGUACCUUAUGAAAAAGGAUCGGCUAACUCCGUGCCAGCAGCCGCGGUAAUACGGAGGAUGCGAGCGUUAUCCGGAUUUAUUGGGUUUAAAGGGUGCGUAGGCGGACGCUUAAGUCAGUUGUUAAAGUUUGCGGCUCAACCGUAAAAUUGCAUUUGAUACUGGGUGUGUUGAGAGCAGCAGAGGUAGGCGGAAUUCGUGGUGUAGCGGUGAAAUGCUUAGAUAUCACGAAGAACUCCGAUUGCGAAGGCAGCUUACUGGACUGUAACUGACGCUGAUGCUCGAAAGUGUGGGUAUCAAACAGG